Molecule: ribosomal RNA, 253 nt
Filed under: uncultured bacterium
Lineage: Bacteria
Description: partial 16S ribosomal RNA
Rfam family: Bacterial small subunit ribosomal RNA
Source: RNAcentral
UACGUAGGGCGCAAGCGUUGUCCGGAAUUAUUGGGCGUAAAGAGCUCGUAGGCGGUUUGUCGCGUCUGCUGUGAAAGACCGGGGCUCAACUCCGGUUCUGCAGUGGGUACGGGCAGACUAGAGUGAUGUAGGGGAGACUGGAAUUCCUGGUGUAGCGGUGAAAUGCGCAGAUAUCAGGAGGAACACCGAUGGCGAAGGCAGGUCUCUGGGCAUUAACUGACGCUGAGGAGCGAAAGCAUGGGGAGCGAACAGG